This 467-nucleotide ribosomal RNA is filed under the name uncultured bacterium. RNAcentral describes it as "partial 16S ribosomal RNA". It matches the Rfam family "Bacterial small subunit ribosomal RNA", at positions 28 to 507 of the family's 1533-position model. The record is from RNAcentral.
GACGAACGCUGGCGGCGUGCUUAACACAUGCAAGUCGAACGGAAAGGCCCUGCUUUUGUGGGGUGCUCGAGUGGCGAACGGGUGAGUAACACGUGAGUAACCUGCCCUUGACUUUGGGAUAACUUCAGGAAACUGGGGCUAAUACCGGAUAGGAGCUCCUGCUGCAUGGUGGGGGUUGGAAAGUUUCGGCGGUUGGGGAUGGACUCGCGGCUUAUCAGCUUGUUGGUGGGGUAGUGGCUUACCAAGGCUUUGACGGGUAGCCGGCCUGAGAGGGUGACCGGCCACAUUGGGACUGAGAUACGGCCCAGGCUCCUACGGGAGGCAGCAGUGGGGAAUAUUGCACAAUGGGCGGAAGCCCGAUGCAGCAACGCCGCGUGCGGGAUGACGGCCUUCGGGUUGUAAACCGCUUUCGCCUGUGACGAAGCGUGAGUGACGGUAUGGGUAAAGAAGCACCGGCUAACUACGUG